Molecule: ribosomal RNA, 903 nt
Filed under: Triticum aestivum (bread wheat)
Lineage: Eukaryota; Viridiplantae; Streptophyta; Magnoliopsida; Poales; Poaceae
Description: partial small subunit ribosomal RNA
Source: RNAcentral
AUGGGAUUCUGGGACCUCCGCUUAUUUAAUCAAGCCCUCCUAGCGAAGCAGGCUUGGCGACUUAUCCAAUUUCCGGACAGCUUGUGUGCGAGACUGUUAAAGGAAAAAUAUUACCCACAUGGAAAUCUUGCUGAUACUGCUUUUAUCCAGAACGCGUCACCGUGCUGGCAAGGAAUCUGUCAUGGUUUGGAUCUCCUUAAGAAAGGCAUCAUUUGGAGGAUUGGUGAAGGUGAUAAAGUUAGAGUGUGGAGAGAUAAUUGGAUCCCAAGGGGAAAUUUAAAAAUCACUGGGAAACAAUCUCGUACUAGGAUAAAGUGGGUCUCCGAGCUAAUCGAUCCAGUGACAAGGACAUGGAAUGAGGAACUGAUUAGGAAAAUAUUACUACCUCAUGAUGUUGACGAAGUGCUAAAAAAUUGCCUCCCACAGUCUACCUCUGAGGAUUUUAUAGCAUGGCACUUUGAACGCUCAGGUGUUUUUUCGGUUUGCAGUGCAUACAGGCUAGCCGUUAAUGACAAGGAGGCGAAUCGAGAUUUGGGACAAAGCAGUACGGUGCCAACUGGAGAAAGAAAGAUUUGGAGCGUGCUUUGGAAAGCAAAUGUUCCUCCCAAGAUUAGAAAUUUUGGGUGGCGUUUGGCGACGGAGUCACUCGGAGUUCAGACAAGUAGACAUAAGAGAGGGUUGGAGCUAUUCCCUACAUGCUCUAUCUGUGGGAUGGAACCAGAAGAUGGAUAUCACGCAGUCAUGAGAUGCACAAAAGCUAAAGCCCUGCGUGACACCAUGCGUGAGGUUUGGACCCUUCCCCGGGACACUGAUCUUACAUGUACGGGGCGUGAGUGGGUCCUUAUAACUCUUUAUAAGGCGAAUGAGGAGGAGCGUACACACCUCCUCUUUUUGAUGAACUGA